RNAcentral lists this ribosomal RNA (465 nucleotides) under uncultured beta proteobacterium. RNAcentral describes it as "bacterial SSU rRNA". It matches the Rfam family "Bacterial small subunit ribosomal RNA", at positions 9 to 524 of the family's 1533-position model. The record is from RNAcentral. Lineage: Bacteria; Pseudomonadati; Pseudomonadota; Betaproteobacteria.
GAGUUUGAUCCUGGCUCAGAACGAACGCUGGCGGCAGGCUUAACACAUGCAAGUCGAGCGCCCCGCAAGGGGAGCGGCAGACGGGUGAGUAACGCGUGGGAACGUACCCUUUUCUACGGAAUAACGCAUGGAAACGUGUGCUAAUACCGUAUGUGCCCUUCGGGGAAAGAUUUAUCGGAAAGGAUCGGCCCGCGUUGGAUUAGCUAGUUGGUGGGGUAAAGGCCUACCAAGGCGACGAUCCAUAGCUGGUCUGAGAGGAUGAUCAGCCACAUUGGGACUGAGACACGGCCCAAACUCCUACGGGAGGCAGCAGUGGGGAAUAUUGGACAACGGGCGCAAGCCUGAUCCAGCCAUGCCGCGUGAGUGAUGAAGGCCCUAGGGUUGUAAAGCUCUUUCACCGGUGAAGAUAAUGACGGUAACCGGAGAAGAAGCCCCGGCUAACUUCGUGCCAGCCGCCGCGGUAAC